CCGCAGGAGCGACCCAAGAAAUAGCAAAAAGGACAAAAAAAAAAAAAAGAAAUGUUAGGCAUAGUGUUCAUUCACUUAAAGAAAGUUAUAUUUAAUGAGGAAUACACAUAGCUAAUUGUUUAACAGACUGUAGCAUCAGUGUUUGUGAGUGUAUGUUGAGCUGAGAAAAGCCUAGCAUUUUAUUUUAUUUUGCUUUUUAGGGCCACACCUGCAGCAUAUGGCAGUUCCCAGGCUAGGGGUUGAAUUGGAGCUGUAGCUGCCGGCCUACAUCACAGCCACAGCAAUGCGGGAUCCCAGAGACGUCUGUGCCCUAUACCACCCCUCACGGUAAUGCUGGAUCCUUCCACCAAGCAGGGCCAGGGAUCAAACCCUCAUCCUUAUGGAUACUAGUUGGUUUCUUUUCCACUGUGCCACAAGGGGAAUUCCCAAGUCUAGCAUUUUAGCAAUGAAUAUAUGUAAAGAUCUUACCUUUUGCCUUUAAGUCGUUUUCUGAUAUUAGAUAUACAUAGAACUUUAUUACAAGCUAUAUGAAAGAAUUUAUAAGCCCAGCCCAACUAUAUUUCAGUGAAAAACUUAUAUGUGAGUCAUGCGUCUUGGAUUGUAUAGCAGAGUUUUUCCAACACUAGAGUUAUAUAGAUGCCUCUUACAGCUACAUGAAGGAAAUUUUUGGCACAUUCAUCAAUGAAAAAGUUAUAUACAGUGAGAAAUGCAUGUGGUGAAUUAUUUAACAGACCUAUAACUUCAAAGUUUCCAUGCAUGCACUGUAGUUAUGAAAAGAAUAGUUUUCUAAUAAGGAAUACAUAUAAAAAUCUUCUGUUUGCAGAUGAAGCUAUAUUUUCAGAUAUGAUAGAUUGUCAUUACAAGCCAUAUGAAAGAAAUUUUAGGCACAGUGUUCUUUCAGUGAAAGGAAAUUAUAUUCUGUGUCAUGCAUGUAGUAGACUUUAUAAUUUUGUAAUAACCUGUAGCUCUAAUGUUUAUAAGGCUACUUUGACUCUGCAUGAAGUCCAGUGUUCUAACAGCAAAUAGAUGUGAACACCUUUUGAGUCUGUGUAAUAAUGUACUAAAUUUGAUAUAUAUUGAUGUUUGUUACAAGCUAUGUGAAAAAAUUUUGGACAGUGUUCUUUCAGCUAAUGGAGGUGUCCUGCAGCGAGUCUUAUUUAACAAAUUUGUAACACUUGUAAGUAGGAUUGCUUAGAAGCUACAGUAUGUUCAGUGUUCUAAUAGCAAAUGGAUGUGGAAGUCUUUCCCAUUGUAUAUAAAGAUUUGUCACACACACACACAUACAUUGUAGGAAAUUGAAAUCCUUUCCCUUUAUCUGUAAAGGCUUGUUCGCAUGUUAAUAUACAUAUUUGUCAUGAAAUUAAUUUUUGGCAAAGUGUUUUUUCAGUGAAAGGAGGUUGUACACAGUGAUCCAUGUCAGUGAACAGUUUAACAGUUAUAGAACACUUGUGUUUCUAAAGCCUUCUUUAAAUUUUUUCUUUUUACGGCCACACCUGCAGCACAUGAAGGUUCUCAGGCUAGGGGUCUAAUCAGAGCUAUUCCUGCCAGCCUACGCCAGAGCCACAGCAGAGCAGCAUCCAAGCUGCAUCUGCAACCUACACUACAGCUCACGGCAACACCAUAUCCUUAACCCACUGAAUGAGGCCAGGGAUGGAACCCACAACCUCACGGUUCCUAGUCGGAUUCGUUUCCACUGCACCACGAUGGAAACUCCUCUAAAGCCUUUUAAUUCAAAGAGGAACGUGAGAGUUUCUACUUCAUUUAAAUUAGCAAAGGGAAAAAACCCCACAACUCCUGGGCUAUGCUGUAAAUUAAAACGGGAUUUUACUAAAACAACAUUCAAAUCUAUCAUGUGCUAUUUACAAUAAUAAAUAAUAGUCUUUCAAAAUAGGUAAAGGAGUCUUGGGAAUGAGGCAUCAGGGAGAUGGUGCCAGCUCACAUCAAGUCCCUAUGCUGCCUCUCUGCCACAGUGAAUGUCGCAUUGCCACUGGACACACAUUUGCCCCUGAUUUUGAUGAGUGCCAAUUCUUCUUGGCCUUGAGUUUUCUGUUGCCCAGAUAGGACUUGGCCUCCAGCUAGCAGGACAAGAGGUAGGUAUAGGAGAGAGUGGUACCUGAGUUACCAGGAGCCACAAUUCAGGUGUCACUCACAGUGUCUGCCCAGCAGCUGGAAUUCCAGUGAUGGCCAUGCAACAAGGUCUGGGGAUGACCAAGAAGAUGUGAACUUGGGUUCUCUAAAUUGGCUGGUAGGGAGAGUCCACUCCACCUCUCCCUUCUGCUCAGCCUCACCUCCCAUUCUCACUGAACCACUCCAUGUCUCAGAAUCAGACAUCAAAUUGCUCCUCAGGCUCUCUAUCUGUAGCCACCCAGAGCAGCAUGAUCUCUGCCAUUACUGUGCAUUCCUGGGACCAGAGGGAAGGAGAUGAUGGAGGGGUGAGGAGAGAGGCAGGGCAUUGGUCCUGGGUCUUUGCACACACGAGACUCCACCUUCCCUCCAUUUGCAUCAAGGUCCUACCUGUUCUCAGAAAUGGAAUAAAUUUCCUGCAGGAAAUUUUCCUUGGUGCCAUUCCUCAUUCCCACCCACCAGUUGGAUAGUUCUCCCACUCCUCUGUUAUUAAACUCUCCCUGUAAAUGUAAGGCACAGGGGAUGGAGACCUGGAGUUUUCUGCCCAGGGGUACUUCUGAUUUCUGUUCCCUUCCCCUCUUCCAUAGGAAGUGCCAAGCUCUUGCCUUAUUCUUUUUCUGGUGGUUGAUCUCAUUCUCCUCUAAGGUAGACAGACACCUGAAAGUGUCCCCUAGUCGUUACUAGCACCCUAUGCCCACCCUUUUCAUGUGGCACUACCAUCAGGCCUCACAAAGGGGCUGGGCUUGCCUAGAAAACGGGAUGUAAACCUUGGUCAGGUCGUGGCCCCCAAGAGCGUGGGACAUGGAGGCCGAGGCUCAGGGAUCUUGUAGCACAACCCUCAGUGACGACACUCAGAACCUGAGGCUUUAGGCUCCCUCUCUUCUUUGUUGCUGGACUUGUGGGUCCCCCAUAUCACUCUCACCCCAUGGACACCACCUGAAGGAGAGGCUAAGUCCAGCUUUGUGGUCAGGCAGAUCUACUGCUCUGCCAGCCUUGAAAACUGGGACCAGUGUGUAUUCUGUGGAGCCUCCUUUCACUCAUCUUUAAAAUGGACAUGAUGUCCCAGCUCACAGGGGUGGCGGGGAGCCUCUCCUCAGAGGUUUCCUGAGUGCUGACCAUUGAGGGCUCAGCUACAGGUCUCUCUCUUCCCAAACCUCAAUUCUGAUCCCCCUGGCCUAGCCCACAGUCCCCCUUACCUGGCCCAGAUAAUUCUCCCUCACCGGGCCCAGCAUGACCUGAUUAAUGAAGAUUGUGCUAAGGAAGGGGACAGACACCUGUGUCAUCAGGGAGGGGGGUGGGAUGAGCCUCUACUCCCAGAUUUGCCUGGGUACCCUCUCUUGAAAACUCCUCACCCUCAGCUUCUGGCCUUGCCCCAGGUUUUCCUCAAGGAGCAGCCUAGGAGGAGCCUUAAUAAUCUCCUUUCAAUUUCCCUCCCCCAACUCUCCAAGAAUAUAAGACUCCUGUGCAGACCUUCUGUAGCAUCUUCUGGGCUUAAUGGAGGUUCACCAUCAAGGGGCGAACAUGGAGGGCUGCUCCUGUCAGGGCCGAGGACAGGGUCAUUGAGGCCAUACUACCCCCACCAACCUCCCAUUUUUGUCCAGUACCUGAGACCUCAGACCCUGACAUCUGAUCCAUGUUAGCUGAUACUCCAUUCUCCAGCAUGCUCUGAUUCUAGACUAAUCCCACCUCCAAAACUCACUCAGUGUGUGCUUUUGGCCCUGCAGCCUGCCCCUGCUCCCCAUGAGCCUGUUUCUUCAUCUGAAAAGUGUAGGAAUCCCAGCUACCACAAGGGUCUCCUGAAGACUCCACCCUUCGCACUGUGAUGCUGUCAUCAUUGUUCUUGUAUCAGCCUGCAGCUGGAUCGGGACAGAAAGAACCUCACAUUCCUGUCUUCCCUUUUACCUCAUCGCUACCCUGUGAGGCCCGCACCAGAGGCUUAUUAUCCCUCCGCUUUCCAGAUGAGGAGGCAGAGGCCAAAGAGAUGCAGUGAGGCUUAGGGGUCCACAGAGGACAGGCUGCACCUCCUGUUAGCCAGAGGCCCUGUUCCAGCUUCCCUCAUCCACCCCAGUCCCACCUGGAAUGAGAUGUCCUGUCCACUUGACUCUCAAGUUUGUCCAGGCCCCUAUCUGAGUGGAGCUGUGGAUGGAGAGGGAUGGGGUGGUUGGAAGUCUGGUUUUAGUUCCCUGCCUGCCCCAGAUCCGCUGGAGCCUCUGCCACUCAGGCUGGACCCAAAGCCAUGCUGAUGCCUUCCCUGCCCCAGGAUCAGCUUAUAACAUUCCCCUGGAUAGCAGUUUCUUUUCAUCUACUCAGUAACAUAACCCCUGAGGUACCGCCUCUGACUGAUGGGGUAGGAGGUGACAGAAACUUUGCUUGCUCCUUUACGUGAAGCUUCUAAAGUCCUUUCAGGAAAGGUCCACUAAGAAUCCAUAAGAUGCUCAGACACUUCUCAUCAGCCACCUGGGGCAUGUGUCACAGUUAACUAGGCACCCAGGUGAGAAUCCCGACUGUGACUGACUAGCAGCAACUGUGUGCGGGGCACAGUGGGGAGUCACAGACGGCAUGUAUAUCUUGUCUCUAUUCCAGCCAUUUGUACCCAAGGCUGGGCAGUGCAUCAUACACCUGGCCCAUGGGCUUCCCCUGCAGUACCCAUCCUUGGGGCAAGAAGGAUGCACUACCCUUGGAGGUGUGGUGAGUACAGAGGAGCUGCAGGAACCUGGGUUCCUGAGAACAGACUGGGUUGGUUUAGGGAAGAAAGUUGCCUCCUCCCACCCAUCCAUUCAACAGCCUAGAAAAAGCUAAGUGCCAGCAGGAUGGACCAGCAUGGAAGCCAAAGAUCUGCUAAUUUUGUUAUCUCAGCAUCCCCUCCUAGAAUAGCCCAGCCAUCACUUUACCUCAUUACUAAGAUCUCCUGCCCUUCAACCUGACUUUGGACAAAACUCUCCUUCUUCCUCUUAAGCCAGAAAAUACUGGAAUUUUUCAAAGAAUCUUUAGGCAAG
RNAcentral lists this long non-coding RNA (5120 nucleotides) under Sus scrofa (pig). Its description in RNAcentral is "lncRNA (ENSSSCG00025030301.1)". The record is from RNAcentral. Lineage: Eukaryota; Metazoa; Chordata; Mammalia; Artiodactyla; Suidae.